CAGCUACAUAGAGAGAGAGACAUCUGUCAGAAGUUAUUUGUGAAAGAGUUUGCCAAAAGCAACUAUUAUAUCUCCUCUGAAAAAAAUAACUGGGAAUAUGCCAACCGAGACUGUCUGAAGAAAGGGGCAAAGCUCGUCAUCAUAAACAGUGAAGAGGAACAGAAAUUCCUAAUUGCAUUAAACAUACGUACUUGGAUCGGUCUGACUGACCGAGAGAUUGAGGGGACCUGGAGAUGGGUGGAUGGCACACCUCUCACCAC
Esox lucius (northern pike) is the source of this 260-nucleotide long non-coding RNA. RefSeq lists it as uncharacterized. Lineage: Eukaryota; Metazoa; Chordata; Actinopteri; Esociformes; Esocidae. The record is from RefSeq and is a predicted model, not a curated record. The transcript is spliced from 3 exons.